The sequence is a ribosomal RNA, 500 nucleotides long. It matches the Rfam family "Bacterial large subunit ribosomal RNA", at positions 1817 to 2597 of the family's 2925-position model.
CGCCUCUUGCAUGUAUUAUAAGAGGUCUUGCCUGCCCAGUGACGCAAGUUCAACGGCCGCGGUAUUUUGACCGUGCAAAGGUAGCGUAAUCAAUCGUCUUUUAAAUGGAGACCUGUAUGAAUGGUAAAACGAAAACUCAACUGUCUCAUUCUUUCAGCCAAUGAAAUUGAUCUCUCCGUGCGGAAGCGGGGAUAUACACAUAAGACAAGAAGACCCUGUGGAGCUUUAGAUCUCUGCUUACAUCUUAGAUUGGGGCGAUCACGGAGAAAAUAUAUCCUCCACGAAGAAAAACAUAGUUAAGAGCUACAACUCUAAACAUUAAUACAUUUAAUUUUAUGAACCGGCUUGCCGAUUAACGAACCUAGUUACCCCAGGGAUAACAGCGCAAUCCCCUUAAAGAGCACUUAUCACUAAGGGGGUUUACGACCUCGAUGUUGGAUCAGGACAUCCUAAUGGCGCACCAACUAUUAAGGGUUCGUUUGUUCAACGAUUAAAGUCCU